GAUCGAGCAGCACGCCGCGUGAGUGAUGAAGGCCUUCGGGUUGUAAAGCUCUUUUGCCAGGGAAGAUAAUGACGGUACCAGGAGAAUAAGCUCCGGCUAAUUCCUUGCCAACAGCCGCGGUAAUACUACGGGGGCUAGCGUUGUUCGGAAUUACUG
This 156-nucleotide ribosomal RNA is filed under the name uncultured bacterium. RNAcentral describes it as "partial 16S ribosomal RNA". It matches the Rfam family "Bacterial small subunit ribosomal RNA", at positions 385 to 556 of the family's 1533-position model. The record is from RNAcentral.